AGGGAUGUGGCUCAGUGAUAGAGCUCUUGCCUUGCAUACAUAAGGCUCUGGGUUCAAUCCUCAGCAUCACAA
Molecule: transfer RNA, 72 nt
Filed under: Cavia porcellus (domestic guinea pig)
Lineage: Eukaryota; Metazoa; Chordata; Mammalia; Rodentia; Caviidae
Rfam family: tRNA
About the family: Transfer RNA (tRNA) molecules are approximately 80 nucleotides in length. Their secondary structure includes four short double-helical elements and three loops (D, anti-codon, and T loops).
Source: Rfam by way of RNAcentral